This 886-nucleotide ribosomal RNA is filed under the name uncultured bacterium. RNAcentral's name for it is "bacterial SSU rRNA". It matches the Rfam family "Bacterial small subunit ribosomal RNA", at positions 8 to 853 of the family's 1533-position model. The record is from RNAcentral.
AGAGUUUGAUCCUGGCUCAGGACGAACGCUGGCGGCGUGCCUAAUACAUGCAAGUCGAGCGAGCUUGCCUAGAUGAUUUUGGUGCUUGCACUAAAUGAAACUAGAUACAAGCGAGCGGCGGACGGGUGAGUAACACGUGGGUAACCUGCCCAAGAGACUGGGACAACACCUGGAAACAGAUGCUAAUACCGGAUAACAACACUAGACGCAUGUCUAGAGUUUGAAAGAUGGUUCUGCUAUCACUCUUGGAUGGACCUGCGGUGCAUUAGCUAGUUGGUAAGGUAACGGCUUACCAAGGCAAUGAUGCAUAGCCGAGUUGAGAGACUGAUCGGCCACAUUGGGACUGAGACACGGCCCAAACUCCUACGGGAGGCAGCAGUAGGGAAUCUUCCACAAUGGACGAAAGUCUGAUGGAGCAACGCCGCGUGAGUGAAGAAGGGUUUCGGCUCGUAAAGCUCUGUUGGUAGUGAAGAAAGAUAGAGGUAGUAACUGGCCUUUAUUUGACGGUAAUUACUUAGAAAGUCACGGCUAACUACGUGCCAGCAGCCGCGGUAAUACGUAGGUGGCAAGCGUUGUCCGGAUUUAUUGGGCGUAAAGCGAGUGCAGGCGGUUCAAUAAGUCUGAUGUGAAAGCCUUCGGCUCAACCGGAGAAUUGCAUCAGAAACUGUUGAACUUGAGUGCAGAAGAGGAGAGUGGAACUCCAUGUGUAGCGGUGGAAUGCGUAGAUAUAUGGAAGAACACCGGUGGCGAAGGCGGCUCUCUGGUCUGCAACUGACGCUGAGGCUCGAAAGCAUGGGUAGCGAACAGGAUUAGAUACCCUGGUAGUCCAUGCCGUAAACGAUGAGUGCUAAGUGUUGGGAGGUUUCCGCCUCUCAGUGCUGCAGCU